Molecule: ribosomal RNA, 490 nt
Filed under: uncultured Dunaliella
Lineage: Eukaryota; Viridiplantae; Chlorophyta; Chlorophyceae; Chlamydomonadales; Dunaliellaceae
Description: bacterial SSU rRNA
Rfam family: Bacterial small subunit ribosomal RNA
Source: RNAcentral
CCUACGGGAGGCAGCAGUGAGGAAUUUUCCACAAUGGGCGAAAGCCUGAUGGAGCAAUACCGCGUGGAGGAAGAAGGUUCAUGGAUCGUAAACUCCUUUUCUCAGAGAAGAAGAUCUGACGGUAUCUGAGGAAUAAGCUCCGGCUAACUCCGUGCCAGCAGCCGCGGUAAUACGGGGGGAGCAAGCGUUAUCCGGAAUGAUUGGGCGUAAAGCGUCUGUAGGUGGUUUUUUAAGUCUGCUGUCAAAUACAUUGGCUCAACCAAUGGCAGGCAGUGGAGUACUAAAGAACUAGAGUUCGGUAGAGGUAGAGGGAAUCCCUGGCGUAACAGUGAAAUGUGUAGAUUUUAGGGAGAACACCAGCGGCGAAGGCGCUCUACUGGGCCGAUACUGACACUGAGAGACGAAAGCUAGAGUAGCGAAUAGGAUUAGAUACCCUAGUAGUUCUAGCUGUAAACGAUGGAAACUAAGAGGGGGUAACCCCCUUCUGUAG